This is a small nucleolar RNA of Indicator indicator, 73 nucleotides long. RefSeq annotates it as small nucleolar RNA SNORD24. The transcript has a single exon. Lineage: Eukaryota; Metazoa; Chordata; Aves; Piciformes; Indicatoridae. The record is from RefSeq and is a predicted model, not a curated record.
UGCAGAUGAUGUGAAAGAAUAUUUGCUAUCUGAGCAGUGAUGCUGACACAUCACCACCAAGAUCGCUGAUGCA